Molecule: ribosomal RNA, 253 nt
Filed under: uncultured bacterium
Lineage: Bacteria
Description: partial 16S ribosomal RNA
Rfam family: Bacterial small subunit ribosomal RNA
Source: RNAcentral
UACAGAGGUCUCAAGCGUUGUUCGGAUUCAUUGGGCGUAAAGGGUGCGUAGGUGGCGCUGUAAGUCAGGUGUGAAAUUUCGGAGCUUAACUCCGAAACUGCAUUUGAUACUGCGGUGCUCGAGGACUGGAGAGGAGACUGGAAUUUACGGUGUAGCAGUGAAAUGCGUAGAGAUCGUAAGGAAGGCCAGUGGCGAAGGCGAGUUCCUGGACAGUUACUGACGCUGAGGCACGAAGUCCAGGGGAGCAAACGGG